AUAAAAUAUUAGGAGCCAUACCUGCCCAGUGACGAAUUAAGUUUAACGGCCGCGGUACUCUGACCGUGCAAAGGUAGCAUAAUCAUUUGUCCUAUAAUUAAGGACUUGUAUGAAUGGUCCCACAAGAACAAAACUGUCUCUUAAAAAUUUUCUAAAAUUUGGUUUUUAGGUGAAGAAACCUAAAUAAUAUUAAAAGACAAGAAGACCCUAUCGAGCUUAAAAAAUAAAUUAAAUUUGACAAAAUCAAAACUACAAAAAAAAUUAGUUGGGGCGACUUAGGAACAAACAAAACUUCCUCUUAAAUAUUUUUAAAUAUAUAAAUAAUGAUCCAAAAUAUUUGAUUAAAAAAAUUAGUUACCGUAGGGAUAACAGCAUAAUCUUUUUAAAGAGAACAUAUCGAAAAAAAGGUUUGUGACCUCGAUGUUGGACUAGGAUAUCCUAAUAGAUUGUAAAAGUCUUCAAAGGUUAGUUUGUUGGACUA
This 481-nucleotide ribosomal RNA is filed under the name Amnicola limosus. RNAcentral's name for it is "partial 16S ribosomal RNA". It matches the Rfam family "Bacterial large subunit ribosomal RNA", at positions 1838 to 2587 of the family's 2925-position model. Lineage: Eukaryota; Metazoa; Mollusca; Gastropoda; Littorinimorpha; Amnicolidae. The record is from RNAcentral.